Molecule: ribosomal RNA, 301 nt
Filed under: uncultured bacterium
Lineage: Bacteria
Description: partial 16S ribosomal RNA
Rfam family: Bacterial small subunit ribosomal RNA
Source: RNAcentral
CAGCCGCCACGGUAAAACGAAGGGGGCUAGCGUUGUUCGGAUUAACUGGGCGUAAAGGGCGCGUAGGCGGGUUUUUAAGUCAGAGGUGAAAUCCCAAGGCUCAACCUUGGAACUGUCUUUGAUACUGGAAGUCUUGAGUCCGGGAGAGGUGAGUGGAACUGCGAGUGUAGAGGUGAAAUUCGUAGAGAUGUGGAGGAACACCAGUGGCGAAGGCGACUCUCUGGUCCGGUACUGACGCUGAGGUGCGAAAGCGUGGGGAGCAAACAGGAUUAGAUACCCCGGUAGUCCCUGUCUCUUAUAC